GCGCCUAUAGCUCAGAGGAUAGAGCACUGGCCUCCGGAGCCAGGUGCGCAGGUUCGAGUCCUGCUAGGCGCGCCA
Molecule: transfer RNA, 75 nt
Filed under: Bacillota bacterium
Lineage: Bacteria; Bacillati; Bacillota
Description: Firmicutes bacterium (anaerobic digester metagenome) tRNA-Arg
Rfam family: tRNA
About the family: Transfer RNA (tRNA) molecules are approximately 80 nucleotides in length. Their secondary structure includes four short double-helical elements and three loops (D, anti-codon, and T loops).
Source: RNAcentral